Long non-coding RNA from Paramisgurnus dabryanus, 533 nucleotides. RefSeq lists it as uncharacterized. Lineage: Eukaryota; Metazoa; Chordata; Actinopteri; Cypriniformes; Cobitidae. The record is from RefSeq and is a predicted model, not a curated record.
UCCUCUCUUUUUCCCUUGUACAGUUGCACAUGAGCAGAUAUUCAAGCUUAUCUCACAUACACCAACGCCACAGACCAUGUCGGACUCUGAGACUGCAGCUCCUGUCGAGACCCCUGUCCCAGCAGCCUGUGUGGCCAUCAAAGCAGAUUUAGACAAAUGUGUAAAAGAGAAGGGCGAGGAAGCAUGUAAGGAGCUGAUGGAGGCGUUUGCUGCCUGUGUGAAGAGCAAUGCUGAAGCGUCAUGAGGAGCUCAACAUGCUUGAAAAAGGUUUACUGCACUGAGUCCUCCACCUUCCCAGCAUUCCCUGCAGCUCAUGGCACUGGACUAAAUGACUCUGAUGGGGUCUGGCAGCAGGGGACCAUACCCAUGUCUCUUCCCUUUUUUUGUGAAGCUUAAAUAGAUUCCUCUAACCACCAAUCUACAUUGCCCUUAUAUGGCUGAUUGUAUUGAUCAUGUCUGUAGACAAUUUGGGAGAUGUAAAUUAUGUGUCUCAGAUGCUUUUAAAAUGAAAUAAAGAUUACAAAUAUGUUUAA